This 58-nucleotide transfer RNA is filed under the name Varanus pilbarensis. RNAcentral describes it as "partial tRNA-His". The record is from RNAcentral. Lineage: Eukaryota; Metazoa; Chordata; Lepidosauria; Squamata; Varanidae.
GUAGGCAUAGUUUAAACCAAAACAUCAGACCGUGAACCUGAUAAUAGAAGCUUAUCCC